RNAcentral lists this ribosomal RNA (389 nucleotides) under uncultured bacterium. RNAcentral describes it as "bacterial SSU rRNA". It matches the Rfam family "Bacterial small subunit ribosomal RNA", at positions 28 to 417 of the family's 1533-position model. The record is from RNAcentral.
GACGAACGCUGGCGGCGUGCUUAACACAUGCAAGUCGAGCGGUAAGGCCCUUUCGGGGGUACACGAGCGGCGAACGGGUGAGUAACACGUGGGUGACCUGCCCUCAGCUCUGGGAUAAGCCUGGGAAACUGGGUCUAAUACUGGAUAUGACUCCACGGUGCAUGUCGUGGGGUGGAAAGCCUUGUGCGGCUGAGGAUGGGCCCGCGGCCUAUCAGCUUGUUGGUGGGGNGAUGGCCUACCAAGGCGACGACGGGUAGCCGGCCUGAGAGGGCGACCGGCCACACUGGGACUGAGACACGGCCCAGACUCCUACGGGAGGGCAGCAGUGGGGAAUCUUGCGCAAUGGGCGAAAGCCUGACGCAGCGACGCCGCGUGAGGGAUGACGGCCU